This 497-nucleotide ribosomal RNA is filed under the name uncultured bacterium. RNAcentral describes it as "partial 16S ribosomal RNA". It matches the Rfam family "Bacterial small subunit ribosomal RNA", at positions 28 to 507 of the family's 1533-position model. The record is from RNAcentral.
GAUGAACGCUGGCGGCGUGCCUAAUACAUGCAAGUCGAGCGAACAGACGAGGAGCUUGCUCCUUUGACGUUAGCGGCGGACGGGUGAGUAACACGUAGGUAACCUACCUAUAAGACUGGGAUAACUUCGGGAAACCGGAGCUAAUACCGGAUAAUAUUUCGAACCGCAUGGUUCGAUAGUGAAAGAUGGCUUUGCUAUCACUUAUAGAUGGACCUGCGCCGUAUUAGCUAGUUGGUAAGGUAACGGCUUACCAAGGCAACGAUUCGUAGCCGACCUGAGAGGGUGAUCGGCCACACUGGAGCUGAGACACGGUCCAGACUCCUACGGGAGGCAGCAGUAGGGAAUCUUCCGCAAUGGGCGAAAGCCUGACGGAGCAACGCCGCGUGAGUGAUGAAGGUCUUCGGAUCGUAAAACCCUGUUAUUAGGGAAGAACAAACGUGUAAGUAACUGUGCACGUCUUGACGGUACCUAAUCAGAAAGCCACGGCUAACUACGUG